CCGUUCGAAUAGGGAGGUACCUGGACGCUUCUUGACCAGAAAGCCACGGCUAACUACGUGCCAGCAGCCGCGGUAAUACGUAGGUGGCAAGCGUUGUCCGGAUUUAUUGGGCGUAAAGCGCGCGCAGGCGGUCCUUUAAGUCUGAUGUGAAAGCCCAGAGCUCAACCUCGGAUUGUCUUUGAAAAUUGGGGGACUUAAUGGCGAAAAAGGAAAGUGAAAUUCCCCUGGAAGAGGGAAAAUGGUAAAAAAUUGGAAGAAAACCCAGGGCGAAAGGGGACUCCUGGGCCGUAACUUAACCUUAAGGGCCAAAACCCGGGGAGGCGACAGGAUUUAAUACCCCGGGAAUCCCCCCCCUAAACCAAGUAUUGUUAAUUGUUAGAGGUUUUCCACCCUUUAUUGCUGCAGCAAACGCAUUAAGAACUCCGCCUGGGGAGUACCUCCGCAAGGCUAAAACUCAAAUGAAUUGACGG
RNAcentral lists this ribosomal RNA (470 nucleotides) under uncultured Bacillus sp. RNAcentral describes it as "bacterial SSU rRNA". It matches the Rfam family "Bacterial small subunit ribosomal RNA", at positions 451 to 916 of the family's 1533-position model. Lineage: Bacteria; Bacillati; Bacillota; Bacilli; Caryophanales; Bacillaceae. The record is from RNAcentral.